Molecule: ribosomal RNA, 301 nt
Filed under: uncultured bacterium
Lineage: Bacteria
Description: partial 16S ribosomal RNA
Rfam family: Bacterial small subunit ribosomal RNA
Source: RNAcentral
CAGCCGCCAGGUAAUACGUAGGGUGCAAGCGUUAAUCGGAAUUACUGGGCGUAAAGCGUGCGCAGGCGGUCCGCUAAGACAGAUGUGAAAUCCCCGGGCUUAACCUGGGAACUGCAUUUGUGACUGGCGGGCUAGAGUAUGGCAGAGGGGGGUAGAGUUCCACGUGUAGCAGUGAAAUGCGUAGAGAUGUGGAGGAAUACCGAUGGCGAAGGCAGCCCCCUGGGCCAAUACUGACGCUCAUGCACGAAAGCGUGGGGAGCAAACAGGAUUAGAUACCCGUGUAGUCCCUGUCUCUUAUACA